Molecule: ribosomal RNA, 524 nt
Filed under: uncultured bacterium
Lineage: Bacteria
Description: bacterial SSU rRNA
Rfam family: Bacterial small subunit ribosomal RNA
Source: RNAcentral
AGAGUUUGAUCAUGGCUCAGGAUGAACGCUAGCUACAGGCUUAACACAUGCAAGUCGAGGGGCAGCAUGAAACUUAGCUUGCUAAGUUUUGAUGGCGACCGGCGCACGGGUGAGUAACACGUAUCCAACCUACCGUUUACUACGGGAUAGCCUUCUGAAAAGGAGAUUAAUACCGUAUGGUAUUCUAAAGUUUCAUGACAUUAGAAUUAAAGGUUUACCGGUAAUCGAUGGGGAUGCGUUCCAUUAGAUAGUAGGCGGGGUAACGGCCCACCUAGUCAGCGAUGGAUAGGGGUUCUGAGAGGAAGGUCCCCCACAUUGGAACUGAGACACGGUCCAAACUCCUACGGGAGGCAGCAGUGAGGAAUAUUGGUCAAUGGGCGAGAGCCUGAACCAGCCAAAGUAGCGUGAAGGAUGACUGCCCUAUGGGUUGUAAACUUCUUUUAUAAAGGAAUAAAGUGGUCCACGUGUGGAUUUUUGUAUGUACUUUAUGAAUAAGGAUCGGCUAACUCCGUGCCAGCCGCCGC